GAGCCGUAUGCGGUGAGAGUCGCACAUACGGUAACGAGGGGGGUUCGCGUCUAUACGUAUAGUGUGGGAGUUGGGCCUACCCACCCUAU
Molecule: non-coding RNA, 89 nt
Organism: Vitis vinifera (wine grape)
Lineage: Eukaryota; Viridiplantae; Streptophyta; Magnoliopsida; Vitales; Vitaceae
Source: Rfam